Molecule: ribosomal RNA, 463 nt
Filed under: uncultured bacterium
Lineage: Bacteria
Description: SSU rRNA
Rfam family: Bacterial small subunit ribosomal RNA
Source: RNAcentral
AGAAUCAACGCUGGCGGCGUGCCUAACACAUGCAAGUCGAACGAGAAAGGGGUAGCAAUACCCUGAGUAAAGUGGCGCACGGGUGAGUAACACGUGACUAACCUACCCUUGAGUGGGGGAUAACUGAGGGAAACCUUAGCUAAUACCGCAUAAUACCCACGGGUCAAAGGAGCAAUUCGCUCGAGGAGGGGGUCGCGGCCGAUUAGUUAGUUGGCGGGGUAAUGGCCCACCAAGACGAUGAUCGGUAUCCGGCCUGAGAGGGCGCACGGACACACUGGAACUGAAACACGGUCCAGACUCCUACGGGAGGCAGCAGUGGGGAAUUUUGCGCAAUGGGGGAAACCCUGACGCAGCAACGCCGCGUGGAGGAUGAAGUCCUUCGGACGUAAACUCCUUUCGAUCGGGACGAUUAUGACGGUACCGGAAGAAGAAGACCCCGGCUAACUACGCGCCACGCAGCCGC